UGCAAAUUUCGAUUUAGACUCUGGCCAAAAUUAAAUUAAAUAAAAAGGAGUACGUACAAAAUUCUUCAUCUUUUUCCUUUUGUUUCGUUUCAAUUUGGCAACUGUAAACAGGAGUUUUGUGUGCAACAUUUCAUAUUGUUGAAAUAAAAAAUAUGUUUUGAAAAAUAAAACCGGUGCUAAUGCUCCCCAAACGGAUGACAUGUGAAUGGAAAUCAUCUACAUAAAAAAGAUUUCAUCAUCUUGAAAAGCCACUAAUAAAAUAAAAUUAAACGUAGAAUUGGGAAUUAAUCUAAUACAUUUAACGAAGCAAACCACUCACCAUCAACAGCAUCACAAGAAGAAAUUGAAGAAAAAUGAUUUCGAUAAAAGUUCAUUGUAACAUAAUAUUUGGUUUUAUGGUCAUAUGCGUCAAUAUUGGCUGCCAUUGGGGCUGCUAAUGCUGGGGCAGAUGUUUUGUUGUUACUUCCAAUUGAAAUAAAAAAAUACAACAAUAAGCCACGUUUAGAACAGCAACAACAACGACGAUUUCCAGCUAAAAGAUAAAUGCUAAAUGAUAAUGAAUAAUGCAAUCGGCCGCAUUGGAAACGUUACAUCAUCCAACUUUAUCAAUACUAAUAGAUCUGUGCCAUAUUGGGAAUAUGCCGCCUUGCUACAACCACUGGCCGCGAACAUACCGAGAGCACAUAAUAUGGCUGCGCAACAGGCACAGAAAGAACAACAUCCGCCAGAGCUGUUGCUGCAGCAAUCAAACUUACCCGCCUUCUCAAGAAACGACAAUCACAGCCCUGCAUCAGCGCCGUCUACGGCAGAGACCACUCAAACACCUGCGUCACAAUUCUAUUCGAGUUUCAAUAUCUCAGAUGAUCUCUUUUACUACUUCAAUGGGUUCCUGGAGCGUGGAAACGCUCCGGAAGUCUCAACCUCGCCGACACCUGUUGAAACUAUUACCACACCCGCGGAAACCUUCAACGUCACGAGCAUACCUCAAGAGCCGGACUUUAGCGAGUUCCUCAGUGCAUUGCCCAAUGAUCGUGUUAGCCUGCUGUCCUUCCUAUUUCUCUUUUCUUUUGCCACUGUGUUCGGUAACUCACUGGUCAUCUUGGCCGUCAUAAGGGAGCGUUAUCUCCAUACAGCCACAAAUUAUUUUAUUACAAGUCUGGCGGUGGCUGAUUGUCUGGUUGGCUUGGUUGUGAUGCCUUUUUCCGCCCUUUACGAGGUGCUGGAGAAUACUUGGUUCUUUGGGACGGAUUGGUGUGAUAUUUGGCGCUCAUUGGAUGUUCUCUUCAGUACGGCUUCCAUACUCAAUCUUUGUGUAAUAUCGCUGGAUCGAUAUUGGGCUAUAACAGAUCCCUUCUCAUAUCCUAUGCGCAUGACUGUAAAAAGAGCUGCCGCUCUUAUAUGCGCAGUAUGGGUGUGUUCGAGUGCCAUAAGUUUUCCUGCGAUAGUGUGGUGGCGUGCAGCCCGUGAUGGCGAGAUGCCUGCCUACAAGUGUACCUUUACGGAGCACUUGGGAUAUCUGGUCUUUUCCUCUACAAUAUCCUUUUAUCUGCCGUUACUCGUGAUGGUAUUUACGUAUUGUCGUAUUUAUAGGGCGGCCGUAAUACAAACUCGUUCACUGAAGAUCGGUACCAAACAGGUACUCAUGGCCUCCGGUGAACUACAGUUAACGUUACGUAUCCAUCGUGGCGGUACCACACGAGAACCCUCGACCAGCUCUCACCAUCAGGCGCUGCACGGUUCGCUGGGUGGGGCGCCGAGUGGCGGAUCGCAACAUCACCCCCACUCACAUCACCAUCACCGCACUUCGCACCACAAUCACAGUGCCGCGGGGACAACCACCUCAACGCCGGAGGAACCGGACGACGAACCUCUAUCGGCAUUACAGAACAAUGGUUUGGCACGGCAUCGUCACAUGGGCGGCAAGAAUUUCUCAUGGUCUCGCAAACUGGCAAAAUUCGCCAAAGAAAAGAAAGCUGCCAAAACUUUGGGCAUUGUCAUGGGUGUGUUUAUUGUUUGUUGGCUGCCAUUUUUCGUUGUAAAUUUGCUGUCAGGCUUUUGUAUGGAGUGCAUAGAACACGAAGAAAUUGUUUCAGCGGUUGUUACUUGGUUGGGCUGGAUUAAUUCCGGCAUGAAUCCUGUAAUUUAUGCAUGCUGGAGCAGAGAUUUCCGAAGAGCUUUUGUGCGUAUAUUGUGUGUAUGUUGUCCACGUAAAAUACGGCGAAAAUAUCAACCAACGAUGCGUUCAAAAUCUCAGAGAUUCGCUACAAGACGAUGUUACUCAACAUGUUCUCUGCAUGGGAUCCAACAUGUGCGACACAAUUCAUGCGAACAAACGUACAUUUAGUAAUAAUGAAAGAAAAAUUAUUUCAACAUCACAACACGAAACAUCUGCCGCCAGUGCAUCAACGUAUACCAUCCUCAGUAACAUAUCAGAACGGCCAACAAAUAUUACAACAAAAAGUUGGCAAAUAAAACAAAAAAUAUAUAUUCUAUAAGAAAUACUAAAAGAUGAUGUAUUAUUUUAAUAAUACAUUGAACCUUUUUCGCUCGUAUUCUAGUGGCCUUUUUCUACACUCCUCUCCAGUUUAUACUUCAGAAAAAUCGUUUACUGCUCCACCAUCACCACUCUGUGAGUGCCUCCAUGCACAUGGAAAACAAUUUGUGCAAUUUUUUCAUUAAACAUAUUAAAAUUAAAUUUUCCAUGAAAAAUGCCAACAUUUAUAAAUUCUCCUGCACACACAGCCAACGGAGGCGGUAAUAAAAUAAAGUGAGCAGCUAGUGAAUGAGAGAACUAAUGCGUGUGUAUGUGUGCGAUUUACGAGACAACUUCUUGGUUCGACAUUAUGCAACGUUGGAAACGGGGAUAAAUUGCGAGAAAAGAAAACAAAAAUAAGAAGAUUAUAAAGUUUUUGUUGCCUGAUUUUGAUUUGGUUGAAUUAUUGUUGAUUCUGUUGUUGUUUUAUUUUGUUUGUCAUCCUACACGUUUUCACAUUGUCUACGUCUUCUCUUAACGAUUGGUGUGUGUGUGGUGUGUUAUUGGGCAAAUGACAAAGACUUCCUUAAUAACUCUUCAUAUUGUUCAUCAACAUCAUUGUCGACGUAAUUGUCAUCAUCAUCAACAUCAGUAGCAUCAUCAUUAUUGUCUUGUUUGUUUAAGUUUGUUAAACAAAUAAAAACAAUGACUUCCUUAAAAAAAAUACAAGCAAACAUAUCAAAAAGGCACCUUAUAUACACAUGCAUUCGAAAAAAACUUUCUACGUUAUGUUGAAUUGUAUUUGUUCUUGCUAAUAAGUUAGUGUGAAAAGUGUGUAAGAGUUCUUAUUUCAACAACAACAACGUCGUCUUUUACUUUGGUGUUUAUGUUUAUCUACUGUUUUCACAAACAACUAUUCUCCUAUCUGCUUCGUAAGCCUUUGGCCCAUUCACCGAGCGAAUCAGUUGCCUUUGGUCACAUAGAUUUAAGCACAAGUUAUUAAGUCUACAAACACACAAAUCUACACCGACAACACCCACAGUAAAACACGC
Molecule: unclassified non-coding RNA, 3525 nt
Filed under: Lucilia cuprina (Australian sheep blowfly)
Lineage: Eukaryota; Metazoa; Arthropoda; Insecta; Diptera; Calliphoridae
Description: dopamine receptor 2, transcript variant X4
Source: RNAcentral